RNAcentral lists this ribosomal RNA (226 nucleotides) under uncultured bacterium. RNAcentral's name for it is "partial 16S ribosomal RNA". It matches the Rfam family "Bacterial small subunit ribosomal RNA", at positions 107 to 334 of the family's 1533-position model. The record is from RNAcentral.
UGAGUAAGCGAUGCAACUUGCCUAUCAGAGGGGGAUAACCCGGCGAAAGUCGGACUAAUACCGCAUGAAGCAGGGAUCCCGCAUGGGAAUAUUUGCUAAAGAUUCAUCGCUGAUAGAUAGGCAUGCGUUCCAUUAGGCAGUUGGCGGGGUAACGGCCCACCAAACCGACGAUGGAUAGGGGUUCUGAGAGGAAGGUCCCCCACAUUGGUACUGAGACACGGACCAA